CCUACGGGAGGCAGCAGUGGGGAAUAUUGCACAAUGGGCGCAAGCCUGAUGCAGCCAUGCCGCGUGUAUGAAGAAGGCCUUCGGGUUGUAAAGUACUUUCAGCGGGGAGGAAGGCGAUAAGGUUAAUAACCUUGUCGAUUGACGUUACCCGCAGAAGAAGCACCGGCUAACUCCGUGCCAGCAGCCGCGGUAAUACGGAGGGUGCAAGCGUUAACCGGAAUUACUGGGCGUAAAGCGCACGCAGGCGGUCUGUCAAGUCGGAUGUGAAAUCCCCGGGCUCAACCUGGGAACUGCAUUCGAAACUGGCAGGCUGGAGUCUUGUAGAGGGGGGUAGAAUUCCAGGUGUAGCGGUGAAAUGCGUAGAGAUCUGGAGGAAUACCGGUGGCGAAGGCGGCCCCCUGGACAAAGACUGACGCUCAGGUGCGAAAGCGUGGGGAGCAAACAGGAUUAGAUACCCUAGUAGUC
This 465-nucleotide ribosomal RNA is filed under the name uncultured Enterobacter sp. Its description in RNAcentral is "bacterial SSU rRNA". It matches the Rfam family "Bacterial small subunit ribosomal RNA", at positions 338 to 795 of the family's 1533-position model. The record is from RNAcentral. Lineage: Bacteria; Pseudomonadati; Pseudomonadota; Gammaproteobacteria; Enterobacterales; Enterobacteriaceae.